This 178-nucleotide ribosomal RNA is filed under the name uncultured Thiobacillus sp. RNAcentral's name for it is "partial 16S ribosomal RNA". It matches the Rfam family "Bacterial small subunit ribosomal RNA", at positions 1207 to 1382 of the family's 1533-position model. The record is from RNAcentral. Lineage: Bacteria; Pseudomonadati; Pseudomonadota; Betaproteobacteria; Nitrosomonadales; Thiobacillaceae.
GGUAGGGCUUCACACGUCAUACAAUGGUCGGUACAGAGGGUUGCCAAGCCGCGAGGCGGAGCCAAUCCCACAAAGACCGACUCGUAGUCCGGAUUGUUCUCUGCAACUCGAGAGCAUGAAGUCGGAAUCGCUAGUAAUCGCAGGUCAGCAUACUGCGGUGAAUACGUUCCCGGGUCUU